Molecule: ribosomal RNA, 434 nt
Filed under: uncultured Lachnospiraceae bacterium
Lineage: Bacteria; Bacillati; Bacillota; Clostridia; Lachnospirales; Lachnospiraceae
Description: bacterial SSU rRNA
Rfam family: Bacterial small subunit ribosomal RNA
Source: RNAcentral
ACGGAAGGCAGCAGUGGGGAAUAUUGCACAAUGGGGGAAACCCUGAUGCAGCGACGCCGCGUGAGCGAUGAAGUAUUUCGGUAUGUAAAGCUCUAUCAGCAGGGAAGAUAAUGACGGUACCUGACUAAGAAGCUCCGGCUAAAUACGUGCCAGCAGCCGUGGUAAUACGUAGGGGGCAAGCGUUAUCCGGAUUUACUGGGUGUAAAGGGAGCGUAGACGGCACAGCAAGUCUGAAGUGAAAUGUAGGGGCUUAACCCCUGAACUGCUUUGGGAACUGUUGGGCUUGAGUACCGGAGGGGCAGGCGGAAUUCCUGGUGUAGCGGUGAAAUGCGUAGAUAUCAGGAAGAACACCGGUGGCGAAGGCGGCCUGCUGGACGGUAACUGACGUUGAUGCUCGAAAGCGUGGGGAGCAAACAGGAUUAGAUACCCUGGUA